Molecule: non-coding RNA, 98 nt
Organism: Trametopsis cervina
Lineage: Eukaryota; Fungi; Basidiomycota; Agaricomycetes; Polyporales; Irpicaceae
Source: the annotation of a GenBank genome assembly
GGUGAGAUGGCCGAGCGGUCUAAGGCGCCAGACUAAGGUCACGUGUUGAUUACAUAAUCUGGUCCGAAAGGGCGUGGGUUCGAAUCCCACUCUCAUCA